RNAcentral lists this long non-coding RNA (204 nucleotides) under Homo sapiens (human). RNAcentral describes it as "non-protein coding lnc-PTGER3-5:1". The record is from RNAcentral. Lineage: Eukaryota; Metazoa; Chordata; Mammalia; Primates; Hominidae.
GAGAGGGAGCAAGAGUCUGCUGUCUUGCACCACAAUGAUACUCACCUCAUCUCAUCCUUAGGAGAAGUAGAAAACAGGGCAAUUGGGAAGACAGACUCCUGGGGUUCUUCCAACAUUGUUUCCUCUUGGAAAGACUCAGAAAUUCUUUUUUAGCUAUGAAAUUUUAAGAAGUUGAUUAAUAUGCUUUCUCUUCCACCCGCAACA